GACGAACGCUGGCGGCGUGCUUAACACAUGCAAGUCGAACGGAAAGGCCCUGCUUUUGUGGGGUGCUCGAGUGGCGAACGGGUGAGUAACACGUGAGUAACCUGCCCUUGACUUUGGGAUAACUUCAGGAAACUGGGGCUAAUACCGGAUAGGAGCUCCUGCUGCAUGGUGGGGGUUGGAAAGUUUCGGCGGUUGGGGAUGGACUCGCGGCUUAUCAGCUUGUUGGUGGGGUAGUGGCUUACCAAGGCUUUGACGGGUAGCCGGCCUGAGAGGGUGACCGGCCACAUUGGGACUGAGGUACGGCCCAGACUCGUACUGGAGGCAGCAGUGGGGAAUAUUGCACAAUGGGCGGAAGCCUGAUGCAGCAACGCCGCGUGCGGGAUGACGGCCUUCGGGGUGUAAACCGCUUUCGCCUGUGACGAAGCGUGAGUGACGGUAAUGGGUAAAGAAGCACCGGCUAACUACGUG
This 468-nucleotide ribosomal RNA is filed under the name uncultured bacterium. Its description in RNAcentral is "partial 16S ribosomal RNA". It matches the Rfam family "Bacterial small subunit ribosomal RNA", at positions 28 to 507 of the family's 1533-position model. The record is from RNAcentral.